Ziziphus jujuba (common jujube) is the source of this 2321-nucleotide long non-coding RNA. RefSeq lists it as uncharacterized. The record is from RefSeq and is a predicted model, not a curated record. NCBI's taxonomy places the organism in Eukaryota, Viridiplantae, Streptophyta, Magnoliopsida, Rosales, Rhamnaceae. The transcript has 8 exons.
AACCAUAUUCAUAGAUAUCAAUGACGAGCAGAAAUUGUAUAUUUGUGUUGGCGUUAGGUCUUCUUCCACCUCAUCUAGAAAAAAAAUAAAAUUGACCCACAUAAAAUUAAUGUAAGAUUUUUUUUUAUUUUUUUUUUAGAGAAUAAAAAAAUUAAUGUAUGUUAUUACUUAAAUUAGCUCAUUAAAAAAUCAGUAACAAAAUAUUCACAUGUUAUCCAUAGAUUAAAUAAGAAGCAUUUUAUUUUAUUUUAUCAUAAAUAAGAAGCAUAUAUCAUUAUUAUUCUUCCAAGUAUUCAACGUUUACAAUCAAAUACUUCUUUGACACAAGAAGCAUAUGGCCAUUUUAUUCUAGUAUUAUUAGAAAAGAGAUUAAAACACUGAAACAAGGAAGAUGUUUUAGUCUCAACAGUUGACAAACUCGUAGUUUACAGUAAGGAAGCCUUGUUUAUCGGUGUCAGUCUGAUUAAACACGGGGGAAUUUGGUCCGAUAUCUUUAUUUUAAACACCUUAACGAGAAAUACCCUCCCUCUUUUAAAUCUUUUUUAUCUACCCACCCUCUUUUCAUUAUUCCAACCUUACCCUUUCUCUAUAAACCACUUACAAUUUCUUUCUCACUCUUAGCAGUAUCCCACCUACCGCAUUUCAUAUCCAAUAUCCCUCUUUCUUUCUUUCUUCUCAUAGUGCUUUCUGAUGUUGGAUUCGAAGGACGAUCUUGAAGCUAUGUAAGGAGGUUUUAUGCUCAAUUUCAGGCGUCCAAAUGGUGGACCAUAACACACACGACAUUGAUUCUGAAGCAGUGGAGAGAGAGAGAGGGAGACAGAGAGUUGCAGGGAGCUUUUGUGUGAUUAGUUUGCUGAUUUCUUUCUUCGACCAUAGACUUGGAAUCGAAUUAUGAAAUCACUCGGACCGCUGAGUUCAUUAGCAGUGGCGGCUUCACCAGAGUCGCUUUACAGAUGAGCUCCUAAAUGAGGCGGUGAUAGUUGGGAGUGUUUUGCUGGACAAGCUUUGGUGUCUACGAGAAUCUCAAUCCGAUAGCGACUGGAAUGGCAACGUAAAAGAUGUAUCUUUGCGAUGAUGGCUGACACAGCGUACAGUAGCUGUUGCGUGGAUGAAGUCGGAGCAUCGCACAUCAAUGCUGAUUAUGUCGUGCACUACGGCCACGCGUGCUUCAGCCCGACUACAACUCUUCCAACAUUCUUUAUUUUUGGAAAAGCUUCAACUGGUGUGUCCAAUUGUGUAAAAAAUUUAUCAGAUCAUGCUGUGAGAAACGGCAAACCUGUCUUGGUCCCCCUUAGGCAAGAAUAUGCACAUUUGAUACAGCAUAUAAGAGAUGAAGUGGUAGAAGCAUGUAUGAGUAGCUCUAGAUUAGAAAUCCAAUUUGCUAGAACUGUCUUCGGACAUGAGUCCACCAGAAUCUCAUAAGAUCUCCAAUGGGAGCUUGGAAGCAGCUAGUGUCUUCUCUGAUGAUAAAUGUAUCAGGACAGUAGUUGGUAAUAGAUAUACCAUUGGAGGCUUGGUCUGGGAAUUACACGAGGAACACAAAAUGGAGGACUACUUGAUUUUUUGGAUUGGUUGUGGAAAUGCUGCAUUUGCAAGUGUUAUAGUGACGUUAAAUGGUUGUGAAAUAGAUAUGAUGCAAAGUCAAAUUGCAUGGUGACAGACUGAUCUUAACAAAGAAGAAUUCUUAAGCAUAGAUGUUACCUCGUCAAGAGAAGGCAAAGGAUGUGAACAUUGUUGGUAUUCUGGUUGGAACUCUUGGUGUAGGUAAAACUGAGUCUUUAGAUCCAAAAACAACUAUUCUGGUACCUGAAGACAGAUAUGGACUUCAUGCAAUUGAUACAUUGGACCCUGACAUGGUGUUCAGAGAAGAAAACAAAAUUGAACAGCCUUUGCAACUGCAGAGCAUAAAAGUUACUAGUGCAGGUUUUGCCUUAAUGAAGAAUGUUUUAUUUUCUGGAGCUUCUUGGGUUGUAGGUGCUUUAAAUAAGAUUCUGAAACCAGCCAGAAGAUUGAGGAGAACAUAGGAAAGUGAUUGAAUAGGAACAAAAAGAAGAAAAAUGGCAUAAAACUAUGCUCAAGCUUAUCCAUCCGAGUCUACACCAAGCGAGGAUCAGCCAUCUAAGGAUGAACCUGCUCAAGGUUUGAUGCUGAGAUAUGGUCCUGUAAAGUAAAUACUUCUUAGCAUUUGUAUUCAGUUCUAUUUAGAAGUGGCCCUUUUCUAGGCCAUUGGGUGAUUGAUGAGAGUUCAUCUAUGCCUUUGUAUGUGACAAUUUCCUAUAAUUUACUGAUGUUUAUGGAGCUAUCUAUUUCUUUUUUCAUAC